AUUGAACGCUGGCGGCAGGCCUAACACAUGUAAGUCGAGCGGAUGAAGGGAGCUUGCUCCUGGAUUCAGCGGCGGACGGGUGAGUAAUGCCUAGGAAUCUGCCUGGUAGUGGGGGAUAACGUCCGGAAACGGGCGCUAAUACCGCAUACGUCCUGAGGGAGAAAGUGGGGGAUCUUCGGACCUCACGCUAUCAGAUGAGCCUAGGUCGGAUUAGCUAGUUGGUGGGGUAAAGGCCUACCAAGGCGACGAUCCGUAACUGGUCUGAGAGGAUGAUCAGUCACACUGGAACUGAGACACGGUCCAGACUCCUACGGGAGGCAGCAGUGGGGAAUAUUGGACAAUGGGCGAAAGCCUGAUCCAGCCAUGCCGCGUGUGUGAAGAAGGUCUUCGGAUUGUAAAGCACUUUAAGUUGGGAGGAAGGGCAGUAAGUUAAUACCUUGCUGUUUUGACGGUACCAACAGAAUAAGCACCGGCUAACUUCGUG
This 484-nucleotide ribosomal RNA is filed under the name uncultured bacterium. Its description in RNAcentral is "partial 16S ribosomal RNA". It matches the Rfam family "Bacterial small subunit ribosomal RNA", at positions 30 to 507 of the family's 1533-position model. The record is from RNAcentral.